CCUACGGGUGGCAGCAGUGAGGAAUAUUGGUCAAUGGGCGUAAGCCUGAACCAGCCAAGUCGCGUGAGGGAUGAAGGUUCUAUGGAUCGUAAACUUCUUUUAUAAGGGAAUAAAGUGCGGGACGUGUCCUGUUUUGUAUGUACCUUAUGAAUAAGGAUCGGCUAACUCCGUGCCAGCAGCCGCGGUAAUACGGAGGAUCCGAGCGUUAUCCGGAUUUAUUGGGUUUAAAGGGUGCGUAGGCGGCCUGUUAAGUCAGUGGUGAAAGUUUGCGGCUCAACCAUAGAAUUGCCGUUGAUACUGGGAGGCUUGAGUACGUUAGAGGUAGGCGGAAUGCGUGGUGUAGCGGUGAAAUGCUUAGAUAUCACGCAGAACUCCGAUUGCGAAGGCAGCCUGC
Molecule: ribosomal RNA, 394 nt
Filed under: uncultured bacterium
Lineage: Bacteria
Description: partial 16S ribosomal RNA
Rfam family: Bacterial small subunit ribosomal RNA
Source: RNAcentral